RNAcentral lists this ribosomal RNA (433 nucleotides) under uncultured bacterium. RNAcentral's name for it is "partial 16S ribosomal RNA". It matches the Rfam family "Bacterial small subunit ribosomal RNA", at positions 29 to 507 of the family's 1533-position model. The record is from RNAcentral.
AACGAACGCUGGCGGGAUGCCUAACACAUGCAAGUCGAACGAGACCUUCGGGUCUAGUGGCGCACGGGUGCGUAACGCGUGGGAACCUGCCCUUAGGUUCGGAAUAACUCCCCGAAAGGGGUGCUAAUACCGGAUAAUGUCUUCGGACCAAAGAUUUAUCGCCUUUGGAUGGGCCCGCGUUGGAUUAGCUAGUUGGUAGGGUAAAAGCCUACCAAGGCGACGAUCCAUAGCUGGUCUGAGAGGAUGAUCAGCCACACUGGGACUGAGACACGGCCCAGACUCCUACGGGAGGCAGCAGUGGGGAAUAUUGGACAAUGGGCGAAAGCCUGAUCCAGCAAUGCCGCGUGAGUGAUGAAGGCCUUAGGGUUGUAAAGCUCUUUUACCCGGGAUGAUAAUGACAGUACCGGGAGAAUAAGCUCCGGCUAACUCCGUG